This is a long non-coding RNA of Varroa destructor (honeybee mite), 1226 nucleotides long. RefSeq lists it as uncharacterized. Lineage: Eukaryota; Metazoa; Arthropoda; Arachnida; Mesostigmata; Varroidae. The record is from RefSeq and is a predicted model, not a curated record.
GAAAUCACGGAAUCUAACACACACAGUGUUGUCUUAUUCAUCUGUUUUGAUACAACGAAGCGUCCCUGCCGCGACGCACACAAAUCUGAUUUCAAGAUUAGAGCGUGAACUUGUCACAAAGCAAAAAGCAACUUAACUUUCCGGAACUUUCGAGCUUCUUCACGGGCGCAUGGUGUAUGGCCUAUGUCUCAGUUGCAGGCCAGCAAGCACCUGCCUGGCGCCGCUAUGCCUGCCUCAACCGAAAAAAGCCACCCAAAAGUGGGCAGCGUCGGCCGCCGACAAACACCAUGCGAUGCAUGUAAUAUGUUUUGUCCACGUGUCUAUAUAUUGCUGCCUGCGGACACGCCUAUUGCGUGGGAUGUGCUGUCGUUCAACAGGAAGAACACAGUGUCGGCCGCCGACUAACACCAUGCGAUGCAUGUAAUGUUUUGUCCACGUGUCUAUAUAUUGCUGCCUGCGGACACGCCUAUUGCGUGGGAUGUGCUGUCGUUCAACAGGAAGAACACGGUCAACUCCGUGUUAUGUGCAACAAGUGCAAACGGAGAGUGAUUGCAAACCUCAUUGAGAUGAAGGACCAAUUGGUCGUGCGCGAUCUACCUUUUGCAUUGUGCCCCGGUCGGGUCCUCGUGAUGUCUGUAACAUGUUUUCUCCACGAGUGUAUCUCUGCGCAUGCGGGCAUGCCUUCUGUACUGGAUGCGCAAUUGUUCACAAAGAGGAAGAAGGUGCAGGGUUGAAGGCGUUCUGUCUCGAAUGCAAAAAAAAAGUCACUACUGAUCUUAUCGAGAUAAAGCUAAGUUUGCUUCGACAGAUGCGUUUCGUGUGUUCCCGCGGAAGGGAGGGGACGCUCGAGCAAAUAAAGGAGCAUCUGUGGGAGUCUGCAGAGUCUCACAAUGUGACUGACGUAGCCUCAAGAGGAUCAAUAGAUGGUCCGUUUGGAGCGGAGAGCUUACUUCACAGUUUACGCGAUGAGGUGCUAAGUCUGAAAUUGCAACUACGCACUCUGGUUGGCGUAGCAACCAAGAAAUACUUCUGGGUCGAUUUGCAGAAGAUCAUAGACGAACACGAGAAGUAGAGACAGAAGACCAUCACGAGUAACGUUGAGCCCUGGGAGGUGUGCGGAUACGCCUGCGGAUUCUUCUGUCAAAUCAGCGAACAUGACACAAUGAGUGUUAUGUCGACGUGUCCGUCAGGACCAUGUCUAAUAACACUUCGCUCUCACCGUGGCC